AGCUGUGUGAUAGAAACAAAGCGAACUAUUCUUUCGCCUUUUACUAAAGAAUACCGUGUUUCUGUCACCUAAAGCAGCAUACGCUUAUUUUUGAAAGGGUCUUUCUAAUAGGAAGAU
Molecule: non-coding RNA, 117 nt
Organism: Glycine soja
Lineage: Eukaryota; Viridiplantae; Streptophyta; Magnoliopsida; Fabales; Fabaceae
Source: Rfam